RNAcentral lists this non-coding RNA (62 nucleotides) under Ailuropoda melanoleuca (giant panda). The record is from Rfam by way of RNAcentral. Lineage: Eukaryota; Metazoa; Chordata; Mammalia; Carnivora; Ursidae.
AGCAGGACGGUGGCCAUGGAAGUCGGAAUCAGCUCAGGAGCGUGUAACAACUCCGCAGCCGA